AAUAAUACCAAAAAUUUAAGUAAAGUGGAUUGUCAACUUUGACGUCCCUCUCCUAAGGAUUCUUAUGGGAUAAGCGUAGGGAUCUCGUGAUAUUUAAGGGAGCCCGUCGGGAUACCGGAUCCUCUUUCGCGUCCUUGCUUUGAAGAUGACAAAGAAAAGAAGGAACAACGGUCGUGCCAAAAAGGGUCGUGGCCAUGUGCAACCUAUUCGCUGCACGAACUGCGCCCGAUGCGUUCCCAAAGACAAAGCUAUAAAGAAGUUCGUCAUUCGGAACAUAGUGGAGGCCGCGGCUGUGAGGGAUAUUUCUGAAGCGAGUGUCUUCGACGGUAACUUAUGUGCUUCCCAAGCUCUAUGUGAAGCUACAUUACUGUGUGAGUUGUGCCAUUCACAGCAAGGUAGUCAGGAACCGUUCUCGGGAAGCCCGCAAGGACCGAACACCUCCACCCAGAUUUAGACCUGCGGGUGCUGCCCCAAGACCUCCACCAAAGCCCAUGUAAGGAGUUGAGUUCUUGAGGACUGAAGAAUAACUAUCCUUUGGGAAAAAAAUAAAAUGGAAAUUAUACUUAA
RNA transcript from Nycticebus coucang (slow loris), 567 nucleotides. It is a transcript of the gene named ribosomal protein S26, with no coding region annotated. Lineage: Eukaryota; Metazoa; Chordata; Mammalia; Primates; Lorisidae. The transcript has 4 exons. The record is from RefSeq and is a predicted model, not a curated record.